AUGGGCGCGCUGCUGCAGGAGAGGGGGGGGGGGAUGGGGGGGGAGGAGGAGGAAGAGGAGGAGGAGGAGGAGGGGGACCCCCACGAGAGGCCGAGGGGCGCGCGGCAGCAGCUGAUGAAGACCAACACCCCCGGCCGCUGGCCGCACGGCGACCCCCGACCCCGGCAGUCACAUGACGGCAACAACGCCAAACACAAGCCGGGCGCUCUGCUGGGGGGGGGGCCGCCGUCGUACCCCCCCCACUCCGCCGCCCACCUCCACCCCCAGCACCACCCCAACGCCGCCCCGCACCACCAGGCCAUGCAGCGGGCCCCCUCCCUGCUGGCCCCGCCCUCGCAGGCCCCUCCCCCGCCCCCCCCGCCCCAGCUCUCCCUCCCCCUCCUCCACUACUCCAUGCAGCAGCUCUUCUCCCGCGCCCUCCCCCACCUGCCGCCCCCCUCCCACAAGGACUACCUGACCUCCGACCCCUUCCUGGACGCCUUCCCGGGACACCACCCGGGCUUCCCCCCCCUCCCUUUGAUGGGGCACCUGGAGCCCUCGAUGGGCCCCCGGCACCACCCCCACCCCCACCACCCCCACCCCCACCACGGCGGACCCCGGGGGAGGGACAGGGGCAUGAGGGGGGGAGGAGGGGGAGAACUCGGGGGAGGAGGGGGGAUGGACUGUGGGGACAUGUACCUGCCGCUGGGGGGAAUAUCCUUUCCUUUGAGAAGAGAGUGUGUGUGUGUGUGUGUGUGUGUGUGUGUGUGUGUGUGUGUGUGUGUGUGUGUGUGUGUGUGUGUGUGUGUGUGUGUCUGUGUGCGUGUGUGUGUGUGUGUGUGUGCGUGGGUGGGUGCACAGUGUGUGGGUGUUUGUGUGUGUGUGUGUGUGUGUGUGUGUGGGUGGGUGCACAUCAUGUGUGUGUGUGGGCGCAUGUGUGUGUGGGCGCAUGUGUUUCUGUGCGUGGGCAUAGUAAAUGUCUGUUUCGGAAACCAUCACAAAAUAAAAGAGAGAGCGAGUUGUUCAGAAAAUGAAGAGGAAAUGUAG
Molecule: long non-coding RNA, 1026 nt
Filed under: Gadus morhua (Atlantic cod)
Lineage: Eukaryota; Metazoa; Chordata; Actinopteri; Gadiformes; Gadidae
Description: lncRNA (ENSGMOG00000034304.1)
Source: RNAcentral